Molecule: long non-coding RNA, 1869 nt
Filed under: Theobroma cacao (cacao)
Lineage: Eukaryota; Viridiplantae; Streptophyta; Magnoliopsida; Malvales; Malvaceae
Description: long non-coding RNA (TCAC_LNC003429)
Source: RNAcentral
GACUCAGGUCAAUACCGGGUCUAGAUGGCUACCUGUGCAUUUUUCAUUUCAUAUCAUGCAUAUAUAUCGAGCCUGAAAUAGCUUAUGACUGUUAGACACAAUUUAAUUGAAAUAUGUGCUAUGGAUUAUGUCUAGGUGGUGAUCCAUUAGAUACGGGUAAAGGACUGUACCCGCGGACUGAAAAUAAGAGUAUAUCGACUCCUAGAACAGUGAGUAAACUUACUAUCGUCUUAAUUAUCUAGAGUAGAUUUAUUUAAUUAUGUGAUUUUAUGAAAAAAUAGUUUAAUUGGAAAAUUAUUGUGUUUUAUGGGAAAAUGAGAUUUUAUAAAAUUUUUGAAAAUUUAAUAAUGAUUUCAAAAAUAGAGUAAUUGGAGACCUAUACUAUGAUUCUGUUGUUUAUCCAUGAUUUUACAUUAAAUGGCUUAUGAUAAAUGUGGGUAUGACUGGUUAUUUUUAUGAUUUAAAGAAUAUGUGAACUGCUUUGAUUUGCCUUGAAUGUGUUAAGUGAGCCAUGUCAUACUAUUGUGAUUUUAUUAGUUGGUAGAUUAUAAAGUGGGCACUGCAGUGACGGGGGUUCCGUGGGCCAGCCUAAUUAGAGGGCACGAUUCCCAAUUAUUGAGCUUACCUCGAUUGGAGAGGCGCGUAGGAUAACUCCCGAGGUAGGAUUUGAGUACACUUCACGCUGGCCACCACGUGAAACUGAGACUCAGCCAACGUCGAGGAACGGUUAUGUUGUCAGAGGUGAAAUGUGUUUGUGUGUGUGACAAUAAACAGCCUUGGCAGUCUCAGUAAGAUGCCUUCGUGGGGUAUCUCCAAGAAUGGAUUUUUGGCAAAGGCCAAGUUUUUGAAAAGUGCAUAAGCCAUGUUGAGUAAUUGGAUGAAAUCCAAUUAUUUAUAUGGGUUGGGAUGAAUUAUUUUAAUUGUCUCCUAUCACUCGACUUUAGAUUAUUUUGAUGAUGUCUGUCUACUCACUGAGAUUUUAUAAUCUCACCCCUUCUUCCUAUCCAUUUUUCAGGCUCAGGACAAUUUGUUGAUAGUUGAUUAAGACGAAAAUUAAUCUCAGAGUUGCAUCUUAAAAAGUAAGAGUUCGUAACCCUACAUUUUCUUAGUCAGUUGGGGGCCCACGUGUCACUGUAAAAGAAAUUUUAUUCUUCAGUUAUUUAAUUUAAAAUAUGUAUGAAUAUAUUUAGCUUUUACACCAUGUUUUUGGUGAGUUUCGGUAUUUUCGAAGAAAAAUGACGAAAAUGCCCCUGUGAGCCAGAAAGUAAUAUUUUAUUGUUUUGAUUUGGAAAUGACUUAUGAUUUUUUUUUAAAUGUGAGAUUUAAUAACUGUCGCUCACUGGAGAGAUGCAGAAGCUGAUGCUAAGCCUUGCGAGGUUUCGAUCGGCAUUCGGGGUAAUAAGUGCUUAUCGGGACGUCGCGGCGGUUGUCACGGGCUCGAUGGGAGUUUCGGGUCGUGACAGUUUUAAGUCCACACAAAGUGUGCAACAUGUUAGCAAGAAUUUCUUGUAUGUUCAAAUUGUUAGAACUUUGGUGGUUGAUAAUUCUCAAGCAUCUCAUUCCAUCAACUCUUUGAAACUAUGAUUUAUUCUUUGAAAGUAUGAUUUUGCAUAAGUGUAAGAAGCAUGAGUAACACUUUCAACUUGAUUUUUAUCUUGACCAAAUAGAAAUUUCUCUUCUUCUUUUUUAGAACAAAAUCGAAGAGCAACUUCUUGAAAAAUCUUGAAGCCUAAUAUCCGUUUUUUUUUAAUUUUUUUAAUUUUUCAGAACUUGAUUCUUGAGACUUUGGAGAAGCAUUGAAUCUUCAAAAUUUUCUUCUACAUUGUGUAUCAAAUGAAUCAUAAGAGUAUUAUAUUUAUAAGGCUAGAC